Molecule: non-coding RNA, 309 nt
Organism: Phascolarctos cinereus (koala)
Lineage: Eukaryota; Metazoa; Chordata; Mammalia; Diprotodontia; Phascolarctidae
Source: RefSeq, a predicted model, not a curated record
CUUCACCAAAGUCAAUGACACACUCUCACCAGCACGUCCAAAGUCGAGGGGAAGCACAGACACUGCUGUCAGCUAUUCCAAAGAUGUGCUAAGAUGUUGAGAGGAAAGCAGGAAGUCCAGCAUCCUCCAGACCCUUAAAGCUCCCAAGAUCCUCCUUCAGCCAAAGUGACAGGAAGGGAAGCUGAGGGUCAUCCCGGAAAGAGGGAGGAGAAGAAUCUGCUUUGGGGAGUAGCAGAGGGAGUGGAAGACGAUUUCAGGAUGGGGAAGAAUUGGAUUGAGAGGACCGAAGGGAAUAUGAGGGUGAGAGAA